GAACGCUAGCGACAGGCUUAACACAUGCAAGUCGAGGGGCAGCACAGGCAGCAAUACCGGGUGGCGACCGGCGCACGGGUGAGUAACGCGUAUGCAACUUGCCUAUCAGAGGGGGAUAACCCGGCGAAAGUCGGACUAAUACCGCAUGAAGCAGGGGCCCCGCAUGGGGAUAUUUGCUAAAGAUUCAUCGCUGAUAGAUAGGCAUGCGUUCCAUUAGGCAGUUGGCGGGGUAACGGCCCACCAAACCGACGAUGGAUAGGGGUUCUGAGAGGAAGGUCCCCCACAUUGGUACUGAGACACGGACCAAACUCCUACGGGAGGCAGCAGUGAGGAAUAUUGGUCAAUGGCCGAGAGGCUGAACCAGCCAAGUCGCGUGAGGGAUGAAGGUUCUAUGGAUCGUAAACCUCUUUUAUAAGGGAAUAAAGUGCGGGACGUGUCCCGUUUUGUAUGUACCUUAUGAAUAAGGAUCGGCUAACUCCGUGCCAGCAGCCGCGGUAAUACGGAGGAUCCGAGCGUUAUCCGGAUUUAUUGGGUUUAAAGGGUGCGUAGGCGGCCUUUUAAGUCAGCGGUGAAAGUCUGUGGCUCAACCAUAGAAUUGCCGUUGAAACUGGGGGGCUUGAGUAUGUUUGAGGCAGGCGGAAUGCGUGGUGUAGCGGUGAAAUGCAUAGAUAUCACGCAGAACCCCGAUUGCGAAGGCAGCCUGCCAAGCCAUUACUGACGCUGAUGCACGAAAGCGUGGGGAUCAAACAGGAUUAGAUACCCUGGUAGUCCACGCAGUAAACGAUGAUCACUAGCUGUUUGCGAUACACUGUAAGCGGCACAGCGAAAGCGUUAAGUGAUCCACCUGGGGAGUACGCCGGCAACGGUGAAACUCAAAGGAAUUGACGGGGGCCCGCACAAGCGGAGGAACAUGUGGUUUAAUUCGAUGAUACGCGAGGAACCUUACCCGGGUUUGAACGCAUUCGGACCGAGGUGGAAACACCUUUUCUAGCAAUAGCCGUUUGCGAGGUGCUGCAUGGUUGUCGUCAGCUCGUGCCGUGAGGUGUCGGCUUAAGUGCCAUAACGAGCGCAACCCUCGCCACUAGUUACUAACAGGUUAGGCUGAGGACUCUGGUGGGACUGCCAGCGUAAGCUGCGAGGAAGGCGGGGAUGACGUCAAAUCAGCACGGCCCUUACAUCCGGGGCGACACACGUGUUACAAUGGCGUGGACAAAGGGAUGCCACCUGGCGACAGGGAGCGAAUCCCCAAACCACGUCUCAGUUCGGAUCGGAGUCUGCAACCCGACUCCGUGAAGCUGGAUUCGCUAGUAAUCGCGCAUCAGCCAUGGCGCGGUGAAUACGUUCCCGGGCCUUGUACACACCGCCCGUCAAGCCAUGGGAGCCGGGGGUACCUGAAGUCCGUAACCGAAAGGAUCGGCCUAGGGUAAAACUGGUGACUGGGG
This 1442-nucleotide ribosomal RNA is filed under the name uncultured organism. RNAcentral's name for it is "SSU rRNA". It matches the Rfam family "Bacterial small subunit ribosomal RNA". The record is from RNAcentral.